Molecule: long non-coding RNA, 429 nt
Filed under: Marmota monax (woodchuck)
Lineage: Eukaryota; Metazoa; Chordata; Mammalia; Rodentia; Sciuridae
Source: RNAcentral
GCAAAGUCUGAAAUGGAUGUUACAUGAAUCAUUUUAAGAGCUGCAUACAACUAUGAACAUUUCUGAAACCCUUUUCUCAGUAAAGUAGAUCAAGAUGGAUGAAUCUGCCUUGUUGGAUCUUUUGGAGUGUCCUGUGUGUCUAGAACGCCUGGAUGCUUCUGCAAAAGUCUUGCCUUGCCAGCACACGUUUUGCAAACGGUGUUUGCUGGGGAUAGUAGGUUCCCGGAAUGAACUCAGAUGUCCCGAGUGCAGGACUCUUGUUGGCUCUGGUGUUGAGGAGCUUCCCAGUAACAUCCUGCUGGUCAGACUUCUGGAUGGCAUCAAGCAGAGGCCUUGGAAACCUAGCCCUAGUGGGGGCAGUGGGACCAACUGCACAAACGCAUUAAGGGCUCAGGGCAGCACUGUGGCUAAUUGUAGCGCAAAAGAUCU